RNAcentral lists this ribosomal RNA (500 nucleotides) under uncultured Glomeromycotina. Its description in RNAcentral is "partial small subunit ribosomal RNA". It matches the Rfam family "Eukaryotic small subunit ribosomal RNA", at positions 591 to 1092 of the family's 1831-position model. Lineage: Eukaryota; Fungi; Glomeromycota. The record is from RNAcentral.
CCAAUAGCGUAUAUUAAAGUUGUUGCAGUUAAAAAGCUCGUAGUUGAAUUUCGGGGUCAGCAGGUUGGUCGUGCCUCUGGUACGCACUGGUUUCGCUGAUUCCUCCUUUCUGAAGAACUGUAAUGUCAUUAAUUUGGUGUUGCAGGGAAACAGGACUGUUACUUUGAAAAAAUUAGAGUGUUUAAAGCAGGCUAACGCUUGAAUACAUUAGCAUGGAAUAAUGAAAUAGGACGUUUGAUCCUAUUUUGUUGGUUUCUAGGAUUGACGUAAUGAUUAAUAGGGAUAGUUGGGGGCAUUAGUAUUCAAUUGUCAGAGGUGAAAUUCUUGGAUUUAUUGAAGACUAACUACUGCGAAAGCAUUUGCCAAGGAUGUUUUCAUUAAUCAAGAACGAAAGUUAGGGGAUCGAAGACGAUCAGAUACCGUCGUAGUCUUAACCAUAAACUAUGCCGACUAGGGAUCGGAUGAUGUUAAUUUUUUAAUGACUCAUUCGGCGCCUUACG